This 352-nucleotide long non-coding RNA is filed under the name Salmo salar (Atlantic salmon). RNAcentral describes it as "lncRNA (ENSSSAG00000099805.1)". Lineage: Eukaryota; Metazoa; Chordata; Actinopteri; Salmoniformes; Salmonidae. The record is from RNAcentral.
GUGUGCUACAUUACUGAGAAUGUCCUAUUUAACUAGCUUUUAGCCCUCUAAACUGGGUCGUUUUUGUAGCAAAUUCAAUUUAGCUUCGUUUGUCAAAUUUGUCUGGGGUGCAUAAAAAUCGCAGAAAAGCUCCAUUGUCUAUUGAAACGGUGUCAAAUGAUAGCUCUAGUCAAACUGGAACAGACCAUGUGUGCUACAUUACUGAGAAUGUCCAAUUUAACUAGCUUUUAGCCCUCUAAACUGGGUCGUUUUUGUAUCAAAUUCAAUUUAGCUUUGUUUGUCAAAUUUGUCUGAGGGUGCAUAAAAAUCGCAGAAAAGCUCCAUUGUCUAUUGAAACGGUGUCAAAUGAUAG